UAGGGAAUCUUCCACAAUGGACGCAAGUCUGAUGGAGCAACGCCGCGUGAGUGAAGAAGGUUUUCGGACCGUAAAGCUCUGUUGUUGGUGAAGAAGGAUAGAGGUAGUAACUGGCCUUUAUUUGACGGUAAUCAACCAGAAAGUCACGGCUAACUACGUGCCAGCAGCCGCGGUAAUACGUAGGUGGCAAGCGUUGUCCGGAUUUAUUGGGCGUAAAGCGAGCGCAGGCGGAAGAAUAAGUCUGAUGUGAAAGCCCUCGGCUUAACCGAGGAAAUUUG
Molecule: ribosomal RNA, 278 nt
Filed under: uncultured bacterium
Lineage: Bacteria
Description: partial 16S ribosomal RNA
Rfam family: Bacterial small subunit ribosomal RNA
Source: RNAcentral